UCAGGUGGAACUCCAGGUUGAGGAGUUACUCGGAAUGCUGCCAAUAUAUCAGUAUCCUUGGUUUGGUACUCAGGAGUAUAAUAAGUCAAUUUGUACUCUUUAACACCAGCUUUGAAUCCAACACUUGCUUUAGUCUCUGUUUGUGGUGACAUAAAUCCCUCCCUACAACUCAUGAAUUAAGAAUUCUCACAACAACAAGGUCUACUCGACAUGAAUUCUGUGUUAAUGAAACUUUUCACAGGAAUCUUUCACAAAAUUUCCAACUAAUACUAAUAUUAUCAAUUAAUCAGAAUGGUUGAUUAUUAGACCAUGGUAUUUGAUUUGCCAAAUAAAUCAUUAUUGUAUACUCUUUCAUAUAUAUAGCGCAACCCAAUUUUUAGUUUUUACCUUUUUUUUUUUUGAAAUGGAAAUACCUAGCUAACCUAAAUAAUAAGAACUUCCCCCUUGACAGUGGUAUAUGUUGUAUAUGUAAAUCCUAGAUGUGAAAAUAUAUGGAAUUCCUCUAUGAAUCUAUGAAAGGUAUAAAAAAGAAAGAAAAACGCAAAGAAAAGAAUAGGCUAGGCAUAAAUCGAUAUGCUGAAAUUUAAAUAAAAAAUAAAUAAGAAGAGGAGCCCAUUAGAUACAAAUAAUGAAUCGUAAUAGAAAUAGAAAAUAAAAUUCAGGUUCAAAUUCGAUAGAAUCGAUAAUAUGGAUGGGCUUGUCUAUAAUGAUAGACAAAUGAAAGAAUUUCUCAAGAUUCUGAUUCAUCCACUUGAGAUUUUUAAAUGAAAAUAGGUUGGGUGAGCUUCCAAACUAACUCAGUCUCAUUGAAUAAGUAAACAAUUGGAUUGGUUCAAUUGCAUGGUGCCAACGAAAUCGAGUGCUAAUUCCGAUUUUUUUGAAUUAACCGAUCGACGUGCUAGCGGACAUUUAUUUUGAAUUCGAUAAUUUUUGAAAAAACAUUUCGACAUAUUUAUUUUAUUAUUAUGAGAAUCAAUCCUACUACUUCUGGUUCUGGGGUUUCCACACUUGAAAAAAAAACUCAGGGCGUGUCGUCCAAAUCAUCGGUCCGGUACUAGAUGUAGCCUUUCCCCAGGGCAAGAUGCCAAAUAUUUAUAACGCUCUAGUAGUUCAAGGUCAAGAUAGUGUUGGUCAACCAAUUAAUGUGGCUUGUGAGGUAUAAUAAUUAUUAGGAAAUAAUUGAGUUAGGGCUGUAGCUAUGAGUGCUAUAGACGGUCUAACGUGAGGAAUGACAGUGAUUGACACAGGAGCUCCUAUAAGUGUUCCAGUCGGGGGAGCGACUCUAGGACGAAUUUUUAACAUGCUCGGAGAGCCUGUUAAUAAUUUAGGGCCUGUAGAUACUAGUACAACAUCUCCUAUUCAUAGAUCUGCGCCCGCCUUUAUACAAUUGGAUACAAAAUUAUCUAUUUUUGAAACAGGAAUUAAAGUAGUAGAUCUUUUAGCCCCCUAUCGCCGUGGAGGAAAAAUCGGACUAUUCGGGGGAGCUGGAGUGGGUAAAACAGUACUCAUUAUGGAAUUGAUUAACAAUAUUGCUAAAGCUCACGGGGGCGUAUCCGUAUUUGGCGGAGUGGGUGAACGUAUUGGGGAAGGAAAUGAUCUUUACAUGGAAAUGAAAGAAUCUGGAGUGAUUAAUAAAGAAAAUAUUGUAGAAUCAAAAGUGGCCCUAGUUUACCGUCAGAUGAAUGAACCGUCGGGAGCUCGUAUGAGAGUUGGUUUGACUGCCCUAACUAUGGCGGAAUAUUUUCGAGAUGUUAAUGAGCAAGACGUACUUCUAUUUAUUGACAAUAUUUUCCGUUUCGUCCAAGCAGGAUCUGAAGUAUCAACCUUAUUGGGUAGAAUGCCUUCCGCUGUGGGUUAUCAACCGACCCUAAGUAUCGAAAUGGGUUCUUUACAAGAAAGAAUUACUUCUACCAAAGACAGGUCCAUAACCUCUAUUCAAGCAGUUUAUGUACCCGCAGACGAUUUGACCGACCCUGCUCUUGCUACGACAUCUACACAUUUAGAUGCUACUACCGUACUAUCAAGAGGAUUGGCUGCCAAACGUAUUUAUCCAGCAGCAGAUCCUUUAGAUUCAACGUCAACCAUGCUUCAACCUUGAAUCGUUGGUGAGGAACAUUACGAAACUGCCCAAAGAGUUAAGCAAAGUUUACAACGUUACAAAGAGCUUCAG
Molecule: RNA transcript, 2170 nt
Organism: Solanum stenotomum
Lineage: Eukaryota; Viridiplantae; Streptophyta; Magnoliopsida; Solanales; Solanaceae
Gene name: ATP synthase subunit beta, chloroplastic-like
Exons: 1
Source: RefSeq, a predicted model, not a curated record